RNAcentral lists this long non-coding RNA (243 nucleotides) under Elaeis guineensis (African oil palm). Its description in RNAcentral is "long non-coding RNA (EGUI_LNC026873)". The record is from RNAcentral. Lineage: Eukaryota; Viridiplantae; Streptophyta; Magnoliopsida; Arecales; Arecaceae.
UUUUCUUUUUCGAUCUUUUAUUUUUUUUUCCAUUGAUUAAAAAUGAGGUAUAGAUCCUUUAUUAAUAAUAAUGAGUCUAUCCUUACAUAAAUUGAGUCGGAUUCCUCUUUUAGUUCUAAAGGGACUCUUUUAUUUAAAAUAGAUGUGUAUAUUAGAAAUAAUCUAGAAAAGCUAAAACUCUUUAGGAGUUAGAUCUCGACUUCUAUAUCAAAUCUAUCUUUUGUCACUUCACCAAAUUCUUAU